RNAcentral lists this long non-coding RNA (1128 nucleotides) under Anolis carolinensis (green anole). RNAcentral describes it as "lncRNA (ENSACAG00000038963.1)". Lineage: Eukaryota; Metazoa; Chordata; Lepidosauria; Squamata; Anolidae. The record is from RNAcentral.
AUGGGGAGCCCUCUCAGCCCAGUAGUAGCAAAUUUCUAUAUGGAAUACUUUGAAAAACAGGCCCUAGAAACAGCACCAAAAAAGCCAACUGUUUGGUUCAGAUACGUAGAUGACACCUUCACAAUUUGGAGCCAUGGAGAGGAAGAACUCAGCAAGUUCCUGGACCAUCUUAACAGCAUCCACCCAAACAUCCAAUUCACCAUGGAAAAAGAAAAGGAAGGAAAACUGCCAUUUCUAGAUGUUCUGGUCAUCCGCAAACCCAAUCAACAAUUGGGCCACACAGUUUACAGAAAACCUACACACACAGAUAGAUACCUUCAUAAAAACUCCAACCAUCACCCAAGUCAAAAAAGGAGCACAAUCAAAGCCCUGACAGACCGUGCACAAAGAAUCUGCGAACCUCACCUCCUCCAAGGUGAACUCAACCACCUAAACUGGGCUCUACAGGCCAAUGGAUACUCCACCACAGACAUCAGAAGAGCUGCAAGGCCAAGAACAAGCCAUGAGAGUCAAGACAAAGAUCCACCCAGAGGAAAGGUGUUCUUACCAUACAUCAAGGGAACCACUGACCGCAUAGGCAAACUGAUGAAGAAGCACAACCUACAAACUAUCUACAGACCCACGAAGAAAAUCAAACAAAUGCUACGGUCAGCGAAGGACAAGAGGGAUCCUCUCUCUUCUGCAGGAGUCUACCGGAUACCAUGCAGCUGUGGACAAGUCUACAUAGGGACCACCAAACGCAGCGCCCAAACAAGAGUCAAAGAACAUGAAAGGCACUGCAGACUAAUUCAACCAGAGAAAUCAGCCAUAGCAGAGCAUUUGAUGAACCAGCCUGGACACAGAAUACUAUUUGAGAACACAAAAAUGCUGGACCAUUCUAACAACUAUCAUGUCAGACUACACAGAGAAGCCAUUGAAAUCCACAAGCAUGUGGACAACUUCAACAGAAAGGAAGAAACCAUGAAAAUGAACAAAAUCUGGCUACCAGUAUUAAAAAACUCAAAAAUCAGAACAGUAAAUAAAAAGCAAUACUCUGAAAACAGAGGAUUUCCAGACAUGAAUCAACCAAGGGCAGUUAACGACUCUAAACAAAGGAUGCCCCAGAGGCAGGAAGAAGACAGCAGAUAA